GGCUCCGUAGUUCAACUGGAUAGAAUAUCAGAUUUCGGCUCUGACGGUUGGGGGUUCGAAUCCCUUCGGGGUCAC
Molecule: transfer RNA, 75 nt
Filed under: Flavobacteriales bacterium UBA6772
Lineage: Bacteria; Pseudomonadati; Bacteroidota; Flavobacteriia; Flavobacteriales
Description: tRNA-Arg(tcg)
Rfam family: tRNA
About the family: Transfer RNA (tRNA) molecules are approximately 80 nucleotides in length. Their secondary structure includes four short double-helical elements and three loops (D, anti-codon, and T loops). Further hydrogen bonds mediate the characteristic L-shaped molecular structure. tRNAs have two regions of fundamental functional importance: the anti-codon, which is responsible for specific mRNA codon recognition, and the 3' end, to which the tRNAs corresponding amino acid is attached (by aminoacyl-tRNA synthetases). tRNAs cope with the degeneracy of the genetic code in two manners: having more than one tRNA (with a specific anti-codon) for a particular amino acid; and 'wobble' base-pairing, i.e. permitting non-standard base-pairing at the 3rd anti-codon position.
Source: RNAcentral